Long non-coding RNA from Galendromus occidentalis (western predatory mite), 1666 nucleotides. RefSeq annotates it as baculoviral IAP repeat-containing protein 8. The record is from RefSeq and is a predicted model, not a curated record. Lineage: Eukaryota; Metazoa; Arthropoda; Arachnida; Mesostigmata; Phytoseiidae. The transcript has 3 exons.
AACCGCGCGUUGCUACGCUGACCGACGGCUUGAGCGAUGCUUCCCGUCAAGCGUUGUGAUCUGCUCGUGAGUGGGAGCUCACAUGUUCGGGGUACCACGACCGGCUUCGAGUUUACGAAUUAGUGAGAGCUCGUGAAUUUCGGAACUUCUGUUUUAUUCGCCAGAAUGAGCCCCAGGACAGUAUGCUUGUCGAAACAAACGGUCAGCCUAGAGCCUCAAGCAUUCAAAUUGACUUCAAAAUUGGAGCCUUCAAGCGUGCGGCGUAGAGUGGACUCGACGAGCAGCCCCGACGGGACUCCCAGCACAAGCGCACAUCCGAGAUUCCGCAACAUCGAGGAUCGUCUCGCUACAUUCGGGAACCUUUUCGACCCGCAGCUAGCGGACUUGGGGUUUUUCGUAGAAGAGCAAUGCCUGAAAUGUUUCUCCUGUGGUCUGACGCUGGAUAAGGUUCCGGAAAAUGUUAUUGUGGAGCACCUCGUGGAAAAGCCUAGCUGCGAGCACGCACGAUUCGUCCACACCUUGCAGCGCAUGCAGUCGCUCUCGGAACGACUGAAGUCAUUCGAGAACGUUCACACUAACCUUAGAGAAAGUCUCGCAAGGGCAGGAUUCUUCUAUCGGAGAACAGAUCAGCGUACACAAUGUGCUUAUUGCCGGAUAGUUGUCGAGAGCUGGGUCGGCGUUGACAAUGUUUUCGACGAGCACGCGAAGCUCGCCGUAACCUGUCCCUUCGUCUUGAAUCCACCGGACUACGCUCUAAGCGAGGAACGUGAGGCCGGGCAUGAGAGAAACCUCAUCAGACAUCGCGGUCCUGAGUACAAGAACAUGGUGACGACGGACGCUCGACUCCGAACCUUCGAAAAUUGGACGGGCGGCAUCGAUAAGAGUAGGCUCGCGGAAUCAGGACUUUUCAGUCUGGGAGUACAAGAUUUCACAAAAUGCUUCCAAUGCGGAGGCGGAUUGUGUGGCUGGCAGGCUGACGACGACCCAUGGCACGAACACGCGCGUUGGUAUCCAGAUUGCGAGUUCGUGCUCCUAGUCAAGGGCCGCGAAUUCGUCGAGGCGGCUUUGGCGAGGCGGAACCCCGAAGCCUCAGACCUCAAACGCCAAGAUUCCACGGAGCCCGCCCUAUCACCGGCACUGGCGAACGAGCUCGAUAUCAUAAUGAACAGCCAGGAGUCCGCGAAAAUCGAGAAAGAAGGUGUCCAGCGAAGUGUUGUCCGGGUCGCUCUGAAGAGCUUCAUGGUCCGAGAGCAGCGAGGAUUCAAUUCGCCUGAGGAGCUCGCGGCUCUUCUGGAAUCGACCCUUAAUUUGAAGCCCCUGACGGGAUCAGGCCCCCCGGAUCGAGCUAUUCAGGAGAGCAGCGACCAAAGUCACGAGGAAAUGCUUUGUGUCGUAUGCCUCAAUGACAAGAGAGGGGCGGCAUUCGUGCCUUGCGGCCAUAUGGUAGCCUGCCUCAAAUGUGCAGCGACGGUAACGGAUUGUCCGGUGUGCAGACACAGAGUCGAUCAUGUCUUGAGAGUGUUCAUGAAUUGAUAUAUUCUUCAACAGUCCAAGAUUUUUGUCAAUAAACAUGGAAAGUCGGGGCCGCCCGCGGUUGCGAAAGAUCUCAAUGAAGAUUCUGAUUUUCGCAGGGCGGAAAUCGAGUCGACCAUCGAGCCCGGAGAAU